UUUUGAUGAACAUUUUUGUUAAGACAAGAAAUGGAAUAUGAUCAGAUGAACCAGACCAUUGACCCAAAAUAUAAAUGUCUCUUAUUUGAUCUAGAUGACACUCUUUAUCCACCGACUUCUGGCAUUUCAAGUGAAGUUACC
This is a long non-coding RNA of Hibiscus syriacus, 141 nucleotides long. RefSeq lists it as uncharacterized. The record is from RefSeq and is a predicted model, not a curated record. Lineage: Eukaryota; Viridiplantae; Streptophyta; Magnoliopsida; Malvales; Malvaceae. The transcript has 2 exons.